Molecule: ribosomal RNA, 253 nt
Filed under: uncultured bacterium
Lineage: Bacteria
Description: partial 16S ribosomal RNA
Rfam family: Bacterial small subunit ribosomal RNA
Source: RNAcentral
UACGUAGGGGGCAAGCGUUGUUCGGAAUUACUGGGCGUAAAGGGCUCGUAGGUGGCCAACUAAGUCGGACGUGAAAUCCCUCAGCUUAACUGGGGAACUGCGUCCGAUACUGGAUGGCUUGAGUUUGGGAGAGGGAUGCGGAAUUCCAGGUGUAGCGGUGAAAUGCGUAGAUAUCAAGAGGAACACCAGUGGCGAAGGCGAGUCCCUGGACGAUACCUGACACUGAGGCACGAAAGCUAGGGGAGCAAACAGG